UUUUAGCAAAAAAACAAAAAACAAAAAAACGAUAGUAUAUGAAAUAUGUAUAUAGUGUUAUUUGUAUACAAAGUCAAAAUUCUCUGAAUUUUAUAUCAAUUCUUUAAGAUUAAUAAAGGACCACUAUAUUACUCUUAUCACAUGGCUUCUUACUUUGAUCAGCACAUGGAUUCUUACUUUGAUCAAGCCGCCCCUAGUGCAUUAUCUAGAAUAAUUAUUAAGAUAAAGACUAAGAAC
RNAcentral lists this long non-coding RNA (237 nucleotides) under Brassica rapa (field mustard). Its description in RNAcentral is "long non-coding RNA (BRAP_LNC006824)". Lineage: Eukaryota; Viridiplantae; Streptophyta; Magnoliopsida; Brassicales; Brassicaceae. The record is from RNAcentral.